AUACCAUGGCGUUAGCCUCGGUGCUUUCAAGGAGACGGUCCACAAUGUGAUGGGAAACGUUUACGUAGCUGACGAGCAGACGAUACACAUAAUGCAGUUCUCCUACGAUGGAAAAGGUCCCGAUGCCUUCUUCGCGGUCUCAAAGGAAGAUAAGCUGGGUGGUACACAAGAAAAACUUAAAGACGAGAAGGACCAGUAAGUCAAACUGGGCACGUACGACAACGCCGACAUCAUGAUCAAGCUAGGCGACAGUAUAGCGGGCUACAAGUCUUUCGGCGUGUACUGCUUCCAGGCUUCUGCAAGCUUCGGUUAUGUAAGCAUACCACCAGGUAUUCAGGUGAAGGAAAUGGAUUUGAACGUGGAUGGAAAAAGCGCAGAUGAGGAGAUAAAGGUCACUCUCACGAACCAAAAAACCAUGAAAGUCUCAAUAAAAACCAACG
RNAcentral lists this long non-coding RNA (440 nucleotides) under Dermacentor andersoni. Its description in RNAcentral is "uncharacterized LOC126534919". The record is from RNAcentral. Lineage: Eukaryota; Metazoa; Arthropoda; Arachnida; Ixodida; Ixodidae.